This 141-nucleotide ribosomal RNA is filed under the name uncultured eukaryote. RNAcentral's name for it is "partial 18S ribosomal RNA". It matches the Rfam family "Eukaryotic small subunit ribosomal RNA", at positions 1299 to 1458 of the family's 1831-position model. The record is from RNAcentral.
UAGUGGAGUGAUUUGUCUGCUUAAUUGCGAUAACGAACGAGAUCUUGCCCAUCUAAAUAGUGAUUGCAACAAAUGGUUGUAAUAUACUUCUUAGAGGAACUCGUCGGAAUACUAAUACCGAACGGAAGUGAGGCGAUAACA